AUUGAACGCUGGCGGCAUGCUUUACACAUGCAAGUCGAACGGCAGCGCGGGCUUCGGCCUGGCGGCGAGUGGCGAACGGGUGAGUAAUACAUCGGAACGUGCCCAGUAGUGGGGGAUAGCUCGGCGAAAGCCGGAUUAAUACCGCAUACGACCUGAGGGUGAAAGCGGGGGAUCUUCGGACCUCGCGCUAUUGGAGCGGCCGAUGGCAGAUUAGCUAGUUGGUGGGGUAAAGGCCUACCAAGGCGACGAUCUGUAGCUGGUCUGAGAGGACGACCAGCCACACUGGGACUGAGCCACGGCCCAGACUCCUACGGGAGGCAGCAGUGGGGAAUUUUAGACAAUGGGCGAAAGCCUGAUCCAGCAAUGCCGCGUGUGUGAUGAAGGCCUUCGGGUUGUAAAGCACUUUUGGCGGGAACGAAAAGGACUGUGCCAAUACCACGGUUCGAUGACGGUACCCGCAGAAUAAGCACCGGCUAACUACGUG
This 484-nucleotide ribosomal RNA is filed under the name uncultured bacterium. Its description in RNAcentral is "partial 16S ribosomal RNA". It matches the Rfam family "Bacterial small subunit ribosomal RNA", at positions 29 to 507 of the family's 1533-position model. The record is from RNAcentral.